Molecule: ribosomal RNA, 514 nt
Filed under: uncultured Actinomycetes bacterium
Lineage: Bacteria; Bacillati; Actinomycetota; Actinomycetes
Description: bacterial SSU rRNA
Rfam family: Bacterial small subunit ribosomal RNA
Source: RNAcentral
CGAAUGGGCGAAAGCCUGACGCAGCAACGCCGCGUGCGGGAAGAAGGCUCUCGGGUUGUAAACCGCUUUCAGUAGGAACGAAUUUGACGGUACCUGCAGAAGAAGGUGCGGCCAACUACGUGCCAGCAGCCGCGGUGACACGUAGGCACCAAGCGUUGUCCGGAUUUAUUGGGCGUAAAGAGCUCGUAGGCGGUUCAGUAAGUCGGGUGUGAAAACUCGGGGCUCAACCCUGAGCUGCCACCCGAUACUGCUGUGACUUGAGUCCGGUAGGGGAGUGGGGAAUUCCUGGUGUAGCGGUGAAAUGCGCAGAUAUCAGGAGGAACACCGGUGGCGAAGGCGCCACUCUGGGCCGAGACUGACGCUGAGGAGCGAAAGCAUGGGUAGCAAACAGGAUUAGAUACCCUGGUAGUCCAUGCCGUAAACGUUGGGCACUAGGUGUGGGUUCCAACCAACGGAAUCCGUGCCGUCGCUAACGCAUUAAGUGCCCCGCCUGGGGAGUACGGCCGCAAGGCUA